Chenopodium quinoa (quinoa) is the source of this 1696-nucleotide long non-coding RNA. RefSeq lists it as uncharacterized. NCBI's taxonomy places the organism in Eukaryota, Viridiplantae, Streptophyta, Magnoliopsida, Caryophyllales, Amaranthaceae. The record is from RefSeq and is a predicted model, not a curated record. The transcript is spliced from 4 exons.
CCUGGGAACAGAGCAGCUAUCUUCCCUAUCAUCCCGAUGCUUCUCAUGCGUUCCACUUAAUGCUCUUGAUAAACACGGAACCUUGCAGUUUCUAAACUCCAUGUUUGCGGGUUCAAGAUUAGAAAUCAUGCCCCCACGACUUGAAAGCACAGCUCAAGGUCUUUAAGAACUUGCACUUCUCCAUGCUCGAGCUUCAAAUGGAGACCACUAGGCAUCCUAAUGAAUGUUAAACUCAGGAAGAUGCCUCGGGAAACUUGGAUAACGACCUUAACCUGAAAAAUAAUGGAAAACAAGCAAAUAAAAGAGAAAAUAACAAAAUAAACCAAGAAAUGCAUAAAGAAAGAAAUCUAACUAAGAAAAUGCAAACUAAAAGAAAUAAAGAGUAAAAUCAAGGAAAAGCUAAGUAAAAGCUCUAUAGAAAAGCAUGAAAUUCAUCCCAAAGAGAACUAAAUGAGUGCCAUAAAUGACAGUCAUCAGGUGGCUCUGUCUGGCAGAAGCUUAAAGUUGUGAAAGCUAGUAUCAAGUCCUUGCACAACAAGCAUUUUGGUAAUAUUGAUGAGAAAAUUGAUCAAGCUCAUAAUGAGCUUCUUGAGACUCAAAAUUUGAUGGCUCGGAAUAAUGAUUACUUGGAGCUAUAUGCUAAGGAAUCUGAAGCUAUUGAGGUUGUUAAGCACUCUGAUAUUCAAGAGAGCAUCUUCAAGAAAAAAUCAAGGUGCUGCUCAAGGAUCCUAAUGUUGUUUCCAAUGAGAUAAUUUCCUUUUAUAAGUCUCUUUUAGGGACUAAGACUUCUUGGCUGCCUGCUGUUGAUCUUGUCACUAAAAGGAGAGUGUACAUAUACUUGGAGGCCCGGGUACAAUGCUAAGGCUAGAAGAGAUUUAGACAAAAAAGUCAGGGACGGACUUAGGGGUACAUUGAACCAAGUUAACAUAAUGGCUCUCCAUAAGGAAGUUGGUUUCAUGAGUGACACUGUUCGAGCUAAAUUCAUAAAUAAGUGCAAGCAUCCUGAUUUUGUGAAACGUUCUAACCAAGCAAGAGAUAAUCAGUUAUCUGGCCAAACAUUAGAGAAGUUUUACCCUUGCCAUCGCCAAGGUAGCGUAUCUACUCCUCAAGGAGUUAAAAAAAAUUGGUAAGUGUAUAAUUUUAGUGGCAAACUUAUGAUUUUUAAUAUAAGAAGCAAGUAGCUAGAAACUUUUUCGCUACUAAGAGAUGACUAUAAAUGAUUCUUAUUACAAUUGCUCUGUAGUCCAUGUCCUCCUAUUUUUUGUUGUAUUUAUUUAGUGCUAACAACUUCUUCUAGUACAAGGCAAAGAAGAAGGAUGAAAUUUUACCAAAUACUGCUGAAGUCUACGAGAGCACUCAUUCUGUAUGCGUGGGCAAUGAUGAAUUUGAAUUGAUGGGUGACAAGACUCAUCAAGUCAUGAAUGUUCCCUUAGAAUUUGCAAAAAAACAUUUCAGCAAGCUUGGGAAAUCAAUUGAUGUUAAGCUACGACUUUAUAAUACUGAAUUUGAAGCGCAACUGAAGAUUAACACUUUUGAAAAUAAGAUCAUUCAAUGUUUUAUUAAGAAUGGUUUUGAUGCAUUGAUUGAUAAUUAUGAUGUUUUAGUUGAAGAAGCUGGUGUAGGGGAGUUCUAUAGUUUUUUAUGUUUAUUUACAAUUUAAUUGUUAUGAUUAAUGCAUUGAAAUUUUGUUUUUUAA